AUUGAACGCUGGCGGAAUGCUUUACACAUGCAAGUCGAGCGGCAGCGCGGGGCAACCUGGCGGCGAGCGGCGAACGGGUGAGUAAUGCAUCGGAACGUGUCCAUGUCGUGGGGGAUAGCCCGGCGAAAGCCGGAUUAAUACCGCAUACGCCCGAGAGGGGAAAGUGGGGGACCGCAAGGCCUCACGCGAUUGGGUCGGCCGAUGUCCGAUUAGCUAGUUGGCGGGGUAAAGGCCCACCAAGGCGAUGAUCGGUAGCUGGUCUGAGAGGAUGAUCAGCCACACUGGGACUGAGACACGGCCCAGACUCCUACGGGAGGCAGCAGUGGGGAAUUUUGGACAAUGGGGGCAACCCUGAUCCAGCCAUUCCGCGUGAGUGAAGAAGGCCUUCGGGUUGUAAAGCUCUUUUGUCCGGAACGAAACGGGUAGCGUGAAUAUCGCUGCCUACUGACGGUACCGGAAGAAUAAGCACCGGCUAACUACGUGCCAGCAGCCGCGGUAA
Molecule: ribosomal RNA, 499 nt
Filed under: uncultured bacterium
Lineage: Bacteria
Description: partial 16S ribosomal RNA
Rfam family: Bacterial small subunit ribosomal RNA
Source: RNAcentral